This 240-nucleotide unclassified non-coding RNA is filed under the name soil metagenome. RNAcentral's name for it is "partial contains 5.8S ribosomal RNA, internal transcribed spacer 2, and large subunit ribosomal RNA". The record is from RNAcentral.
AACUGAUACUACCUGCGGGAACCUGCGGAGGGAUCAUUAUCGUACAACGAGAGGUGUGCCGGGGCUGUCGCUGACCCUUUUAAAGUCGUGCACGCCUCGAGCACUCUCACCCAUGUCCAUCACACCCUUGUGCAUCACCGCGUGGGCUCCGUUAAAAAAAAAGGGGCCUGCGUUUUUCUUACAUGGACGCCAGUCGUAGGAUGUUCAUUAUGUGAUUAGUACAUGAUCAAUACAACUUUC